This 470-nucleotide ribosomal RNA is filed under the name uncultured bacterium. RNAcentral describes it as "bacterial SSU rRNA". It matches the Rfam family "Bacterial small subunit ribosomal RNA", at positions 328 to 793 of the family's 1533-position model. The record is from RNAcentral.
CGCUAUCACUCCUACGGGAGGCAGCAGUAGGGAAUAUUGGUCAAUGGGCGAAAGCCUGAACCAGCCAUGCCGCGUGUCAGAUGAAGGUCCUCUGGAUUGUAAAUGACUUUUCUACGGGAAGAAUGAGCCGUCUGCGGACGGAAGUUGACGGUACCGUAGGAAUAAGCACCGGCUAACUACGUGCCAGCAGCCGCGGUAAUACGUAGGGUGCAAGCGUUGUCCGGAUUUACUGGGUUUAAAGGGUACGUAGGCGGUUGUGCCAAGUCUGGGGUGAAAGUUUGCAGCUCAACUGUAAAAUUGCCUUGGAUACUGGUCGGCUAGAGUAGUGGAGCGGUGGCUGGAAUUUAUAGUGUAGCGGUGAAAUGCUUAGAUACUAUGAGGAACACCAAUUGCGAAGGCAGGUCACUGGUCACUAACUGACGCUGAGGUACGAAAGUGUGGGGAUCAAACAGGAUUAGAUACCCUGGUAG